This is a long non-coding RNA of Canis lupus familiaris (dog), 909 nucleotides long. RefSeq lists it as uncharacterized. The transcript has 4 exons. The record is from RefSeq and is a predicted model, not a curated record. Lineage: Eukaryota; Metazoa; Chordata; Mammalia; Carnivora; Canidae.
UCCAGCAACAAGCAGUAAAGAAAAGUUAGGUUUUCAACAGGUCCGCCACCAUAAGCAGCACUUGGAAGGAUCCUUAGAAGCUUCGUUUGCUUGUUUGCAUGACGAAGGAACAACAGUGAGAUUUAAACAAGUGGAGGAGGGGGAAACACAUGCCCUUGUUACAGAAUCAGCAGUCUGGGUUGACUAGUAGUGCUGGGACAGGGGCUGGAAGGUUCCUGUUGUUCAUAUUACAGAUGAGUGGAUGGAUACAAAUGUCGAUAUUCUCUUGCUUUCCAGAUGACACAAGCAACACCAGUAGGAGGGGCAAUUUUGAUUCUCUCUUGGUACUCCAAAACAGUUCUAAAUACAAGAGUUUUUGUUGUGCACUCACUCUACAAGCAGGAGAUUUUCUGCAGUCCUUAUAUUCACACAGUAUAUUCUGUCUAGAGGACAUCUUUGGUGGGAAAAUGGCACCUCCUGGUUUCAAGAGGAACUUACUGUUCCGGAAAAGAAGGACAGACUGUAUAAAUCACCACUAAAGAUAAUGAUGGGCGUGGCAUGGGCAUAAACAUGCCUGACCACAGAAGGAGUUCACCAAGACUAAAAAUUAUUUCCACUUACAGAAGCUACAGAAGAAUUUAUAAAAGGACUAGAAAUUGAGCUGGAUCAAGAAAGGUGAAAUUUAGAUGAAGGAAAGGCAAGAUAGUAUUAUAUUGAACGGAAUGUGGCAAAACAAAGUAUGCAAAGUAUGUAAAGAUGGAGAAAUGCACAUGUGUUAAGCAAUAUUAAUAGUUCCUACCUUCACCACUCUCCAUGCCUUCUACAAAAAUCCCCCCACAUUGGGGAAGAAUCCAGUACCGGCGUCUGUAACGAUCCUGGCCAAACAUCAUCGAACGCAAAGAGUGAGAAGCGUCAAAGAGCUUCCUUCUG